AGCGCAUACGGUGGAUGCCUUGGCAGUCAGAGGCGAUGAAAGACGUGGUAGCCUGCGAAAAGCUUCGGGGAGUCGGCAAACAGACUUUGAUCCGGAGAUCUCUGAAUGGGGGAACCCACCUAGGAUAACCUAGGUAUCUUGUACUGAAUCCAUAGGUGCAAGAGGCGAACCAGGGGAACUGAAACAUCUAAGUACCCUGAGGAAAAGAAAUCAACCGAGAUUCCCUUAGUAGUGGCGAGCGAACGGGGAUUAGCCCUUAAGCUUCAUUGAUUUUAGCGGAACGCUCUGGAAAGUGCGGCCAUAGUGGGUGAUAGCCCCGUACGCGAAAGGAUCUUUGAAGUGAAAUCGAGUAGGACGGAGCACGAGAAACUUUGUCUGAACAUGGGGGGACCAUCCUCCAAGGCUAAAUACUACUGACUGACCGAUAGUGAACCAGUACCGUGAGGGAAAGGCGAAAAGAACCCCGGAGAGGGGAGUGAAAUAGAACCUGAAACCGUAUGCGUACAAGCAGUGGGAGCCUACUUGUUAGGUGACUGCGUACCUUUUGUAUAAUGGGUCAGCGACUUAUAUUCAGUGGCGAGCUUAACCGUAUAGGGUAGGCGUAGCGAAAGCGAGUCUUAAUAGGGCGUUUAGUCGCUGGGUAUAGACCCGAAACCGGGCGAUCUAUCCAUGAGCAGGUUGAAGGUUAGGUAACACUGACUGGAGGACCGAACCCACUCCCGUUGAAAAGGUAGGGGAUGACUUGUGGAUCGGAGUGAAAGGCUAAUCAAGCUCGGAGAUAGCUGGUUCUCCUCGAAAGCUAUUUAGGUAGCGCCUCAUGUAUCACUCUGGGGGGUAGAGCACUGUUUCGGCUAGGGGGUCAUCCCGACUUACCAAACCGAUGCAAACUCCGAAUACCCAGAAGUGCCGAGCAUGGGAGACACACGGCGGGUGCUAACGUCCGUCGUGAAAAGGGAAACAACCCAGACCGCCAGCUAAGGUCCCAAAGUUGUGGUUAAGUGGUAAACGAUGUGGGAAGGCUUAGACAGCUAGGAGGUUGGCUUAGAAGCAGCCAUCCUUUAAAGAAAGCGUAAUAGCUCACUAGUCGAGUCGGCCUGCGCGGAAGAUGUAACGGGGCUCAAACCACACACCGAAGCUGCGGGUGUCACGUAAGUGACGCGGUAGAGGAGCGUUCUGUAAGCCUGUGAAGGUGAGUUGAGAAGCUUGCUGGAGGUAUCAGAAGUGCGAAUGCUGACAUGAGUAACGACAAUGGGUGUGAAAAACAUCCACGCCGAAAGACCAAGGGUUCCUGCGCAACGUUAAUCGACGCAGGGUUAGUCGGUUCCUAAGGCGAGGCUGAAAAGCGUAGUCGAUGGGAAACAGGUUAAUAUUCCUGUACUUCUGGUUACUGCGAUGGAGGGACGGAGAAGGCUAGGCCAGCUUGGCGUUGGUUGUCCAAGUUUAAGGUGGUAGGCUGAAAUCUUAGGUAAAUCCGGGGUUUCAAGGCCGAGAGCUGAUGACGAGUCGUCUUUUAGAUGACGAAGUGGUUGAUGCCAUGCUUCCAAGAAAAGCUUCUAAGCUUCAGGUAACCAGGAACCGUACCCCAAACCGACACAGGUGGUCGGGUAGAGAAUACCAAGGCGCUUGAGAGAACUCGGGUGAAGGAACUAGGCAAAAUGGCACCGUAACUUCGGGAGAAGGUGCGCCGGCUAGGGUGAAGGAUUUACUCCGUAAGCUCUGGCUGGUCGAAGAUACCAGGCCGCUGCGACUGUUUAUUAAAAACACAGCACUCUGCAAACACGAAAGUGGACGUAUAGGGUGUGACGCCUGCCCGGUGCCGGAAGGUUAAUUGAUGGGGUUAGCGCAAGCGAAGCUCUUGAUCGAAGCCCCGGUAAACGGCGGCCGUAACUAUAACGGUCCUAAGGUAGCGAAAUUCCUUGUCGGGUAAGUUCCGACCUGCACGAAUGGCGUAACGAUGGCGGCGCUGUCUCCACCCGAGACUCAGUGAAAUUGAAAUCGCUGUGAAGAUGCAGUGUAUCCGCGGCUAGACGGAAAGACCCCGUGAACCUUUACUGUAGCUUUGCACUGGACUUUGAGCCUGCUUGUGUAGGAUAGGUGGGAGGCUUUGAAGCGUGGACGCCAGUUCGCGUGGAGCCAUCCUUGAAAUACCACCCUGGCAUGCUUGAGGUUCUAACUCUGGUCCGUAAUCCGGAUCGAGGACAGUGUAUGGUGGGCAGUUUGACUGGGGCGGUCUCCUCCUAA
RNAcentral lists this ribosomal RNA (2241 nucleotides) under Pseudomonas aeruginosa. RNAcentral describes it as "bacterial LSU rRNA". It matches the Rfam family "Bacterial large subunit ribosomal RNA", at positions 14 to 2293 of the family's 2925-position model. The record is from RNAcentral. Lineage: Bacteria; Pseudomonadati; Pseudomonadota; Gammaproteobacteria; Pseudomonadales; Pseudomonadaceae.